ACCUGUAAUUUGAUUAGCCUUGGCGCAAUUUCUUAUUACUUUGUGUAGAAUUAGGCAUAAGAAUGGGUUUCUUCUCUUGGUGAAUUGGGUAUGCUAAAUACCCUAUUGUGAUAGUCCAUGUAAAUUUUUUAUCUUAUUUGUACUUGUUUUCAUUAUUAUUGAUGAGCUUCAUCUUCAUUGAGUUUUCUUGUAAAUCAACAAGCAUGAAAGUAACUUAUCAUAGAGGUGGAUCUCUUGACGUUAUUCAAUAUUUGAGAUCUUGAUAUUGCAAACUUGAUCGUCUUGAUGGUUAUUUCUUCUCUAUUAUAGUCUGCUUUUGCUUCUUUCAUGCAAAUAUGGAGUGAAAUUUCUGGAGCUUUACUUGUGGUUUGCAAUUUUAUUAACUUUUUCUUAACACACACUUUUGCUUCAUCCAUGCAAAUAUGGAGUGAAUUUUCUGGAGCUUGACUUGUGGUUUUCAAUUUUAUUAACUUUUUCUUUUCACACACACACACACACCACACACACAUACUACUCUCACACUCACACUCACACUAAUGUAUAAGACCAUGUAUAUACUUAUUAUCAGUGAUAUAUAUAGUUAUUAGCUCUAUAUGUUUACGUAUUGAUGUAUAUAAGCAUAAAAUACAUUAGUUAUCGGUUAUAUGUACAGUUACUAGUGUGUAAAAGUACAUUGAUAUGUGUGUGAUGUCUGUAUAUAUACGAAGUGUAUGUACGGAUUUCUGUGUAUGUAUAAAUAACUGUAUAUAUACAAUGCAUUUAAUGUUUAUAUUUCUAUAUACAUUGAUGUAUAUGACCAUAUAUACAUUUAUUAUUAGUUUAUAAAUUUAUUAACGUAUAUGUACAUUGUUUUAUACAGUGUAAAUAACUGUAUAUAUACAAUGCAUUUAAUGUUUAUAUUUCUAUAUACAUUGAUGUAUAUGACCAUAUAUGUACUUAUUAUUAGUUUAUAAAUUUAUUAACAUAGAUGUACACUGAUUUAUAUACUACACACACACUCUCACACUCACACUCACACUCACACUCACACAUUUGUUAUCAACUAUAUAUAUAGUUAUUAGUGUGUAAAAAUAAUAUUGAUGUGUGUGUGCGAUGCUGUAUAGAUGCGAUGAGUAUAUAUUGAUAUGUUUGUGUGUAUAGUGCAUAGUGUGUAAAAUGCAUAAUUGUAUAUAUACAUUUAUUAGUGUGUUAAAAUAUAUACAUUUAUAUAUACAUUGAUGUAUUUGACCAUAUAUAUACUUAUUAUCAGUUUAUACGGUUAGUAACCUAUAUGUUCAUUGAUUUAUAUACUACACACACACAUAUAUACACACACUCACUCACACACUCACACUCACACUCACACAGGCACUAACACUGACACUGACACUCACAGAUAUGUAUACUACACAUAUGCGUGGUGUGUAUGGACUGAUGUGUGUAUAUUUACGAUAUGUAUAUGCAUAUAUAUGUAUACAGUUGCUUGCUAUCAGUUAUAUACAAUUAUCGAUGAUAUAUGCACUGUUAUGCGUACGCACAUGUACCCUAACGCGUGGAUAAGUGCAUAUAUAAUGUGUAUGUAUACACUAAUACAUGCAUUCUAUAUACACUGAUAUAUUUGACCAUAUUGACUAUUAUUAGUAGUUUAUAUGUAUAUACGGUGUGCGUUAAAUGAUAUGUAUUUAUUGAUAUGUUUAUAUAUAUGUAUAACCUUGCUAUCAGUUAUAUAUGCACUAAUAUGCGACACACAUGGGCACCCUCACGUAUUGAUAGUGCAUACAUUCAUUUCUAUAUACACUGAUAUAUAUGACCAUAUAUGACACUUAUUAUCAGUUUAUACAGUUAUCAGUGUAUAUGUACAAUGAAAUGUAUAUACGCACAUUCAUAUGCAUAUGUAUAAAAGGUUUAUAUGUACGCUUAUGUAAAAGACCAUGUAUAUACUUAUUAUCAGUGAUAUAUAUAGUUAUUCGCUCAAUUUGUGUACGAAUUGAUGUAUAACAAUAUAGACCAUUGUUUUUAGUAUAUAUAUACAUACUGAUGCAUAUAACCAUACAAUACAUUAGUUAUCUGUUACAUAUAUAGUUAUUAGUGUGUAAAAAAUACAUUGA
This 2087-nucleotide long non-coding RNA is filed under the name Amborella trichopoda. RNAcentral's name for it is "long non-coding RNA (ATRI_LNC004940)". The record is from RNAcentral. Lineage: Eukaryota; Viridiplantae; Streptophyta; Magnoliopsida; Amborellales; Amborellaceae.